UUACAUUUGGCAGCACAUGUGCUAACAUUGGAAUGACACAGUGAGGAUAAGCCUGGGUCCUGUGCAAGGAUGACAUGAAAACACAGCAUGAGAAACAUCAAAGAACA
RNAcentral lists this small nuclear RNA (107 nucleotides) under Rattus norvegicus (Norway rat). Lineage: Eukaryota; Metazoa; Chordata; Mammalia; Rodentia; Muridae. The record is from RNAcentral.